Molecule: long non-coding RNA, 769 nt
Filed under: Manacus vitellinus (golden-collared manakin)
Lineage: Eukaryota; Metazoa; Chordata; Aves; Passeriformes; Pipridae
Description: lncRNA (ENSMVIG00005018153.1)
Source: RNAcentral
UUUAACCAGUGCACUCAUGUGGCACAGUUUUAAUCCUUCAUUGCUUCUGGAGAAGGGUCAUUUAAAGUGAAAUCCUGGCCUCAGAGGAGUUGGUGGGAAUUCUGAAGUGACUUCAGCAGGGGCCAUGGCUCCAUCUCUCACGUCCCCACAAGGGCACUGAGCGAGCGGAGGGGUGAGCGCUCGCGUGUAUCAAGUGCAGAAUAAAGCAGGGGGGUCAGGAGGAGGAAGUCAGGGCUCUGAACUGUGCAUUAAGCUGCUGCUGCCAAGGGACUCCUGCCAAGGAGAGGAAUAUGCACUUUACAUGCCCCAUGCACACAGUCUCUCCUUGCUCAGCGUCAAGGCCACAACGUACCGAGCGGUUUUGUGAGAAAGCAAAACACGUUUCCUUGUUUACAGUCUGCCUCAUUCAGGAUCUGGAAUUCCUAAAGAGCAGUAAAACCCUACCAUGUGACUGAAGACUGAUUUCCAGGAAAAACGGAAGAGGUUCUAGGAAAGAUCUGCCUUUGUGAUGACCACUCCCAGAGCAAUCAAGCCUGAGGAAAUUUGUGUCUGAACUGAUGAAGCUCAGUUUUAUUCUCAGCUCCUCACUGGAAAUUUGAAAGUUUUUGUUCUACCUUCACUUUUUCCAUAGUGUUCCUAAUUAAAGAUCUGUGUGUUAAUUCCAUCUGGUUUGGUGUCAGCUCUUCCACGUCAUCAGCAUAUAUUCUGUUACUUCUAGCAUCCCAAAACCACAGGUGAAAUGUGCCAGGUAGAUUUGCUGUUGCGUCAC